UGCGGUUGGCGUAGUGGCCGGUGCUGCUGUUCUGGAACACCGGCGUGGCCGCCGUGGUGUUGGUGGCGGGGAUCAUGCCCACGACCUGCUG
RNAcentral lists this transfer RNA (91 nucleotides) under Achromobacter animicus. RNAcentral's name for it is "tRNA-Ser". The record is from RNAcentral. Lineage: Bacteria; Pseudomonadati; Pseudomonadota; Betaproteobacteria; Burkholderiales; Alcaligenaceae.